AUUUUAUGUACGGCUGUUAGGCUUUAAUUUAAUUAUUUUUGCUUUAAGAUUUAAUUCCUUAAUUCAGGUCUAUGUGUAGAAUAUAAAUUGGUUUUUAAUGAGUUACUAUAAUAGGGGAAUUUUUUUAUAUAAAUAAUUUAAUUUGGAUGUGAAAGUAGAAUAGAUAUUAAAAUUUCUAUUUGAAGAAGGACCUAAUAAAAGUACAUAUCGCCCGUCACUCUUUUGAUAGAUAAGUCGUAACAAAGUAGGAGUACUGGAAAGUGCUUCUUGUUU
This 273-nucleotide ribosomal RNA is filed under the name Dermatophagoides pteronyssinus (European house dust mite). RNAcentral's name for it is "partial 12S ribosomal RNA". Lineage: Eukaryota; Metazoa; Arthropoda; Arachnida; Sarcoptiformes; Pyroglyphidae. The record is from RNAcentral.